UAGCUCAUUACAACAGCCACCGUUUACUAGAAUAUAGUUAUCCUACUUGGAUAACUGUGGCAAUUCUAGAGCUAAUACAUGCAAUAAAGCUCCGCCCGCAAGGAACGAGCGCAUUUAUUAGAAUAAAAACCAAUCGGGUUUCGGCCCGUAAUUUGGUGAAUCUGAAUAACUUUGCCAAUCGCACAGUCCUAGUACUGGCGAUGUAUCUUUCAAGUGUCUGCCUUAUCAACUUUCGAUGGUAGGUUAUACGCCUACCAUGGUAGUAACGGGUAACGGAGAAUAAGGGUUCGACUCCGGAGAGGGAGCCUGAGAAACGGCUACCACAUCCAAGGAAGGCAGCAGGCGCGCAAAUUACCCACUUCCAGAACGGAGAGGUAGUGACGAAAAAUAACGAGACAGUCCUCUUCGAGGUCUGUCAUCGGAAUGGGUACAAUUUAAA
Molecule: ribosomal RNA, 439 nt
Filed under: unidentified nematode Sourhope farm
Lineage: Eukaryota; Metazoa; Nematoda
Description: SSU rRNA
Rfam family: Eukaryotic small subunit ribosomal RNA
Source: RNAcentral